RNAcentral lists this transfer RNA (73 nucleotides) under Deltaproteobacteria bacterium. RNAcentral's name for it is "tRNA-Thr". It matches the Rfam family "tRNA". From Rfam's summary of the family: Transfer RNA (tRNA) molecules are approximately 80 nucleotides in length. Their secondary structure includes four short double-helical elements and three loops (D, anti-codon, and T loops). RNAcentral also lists the same sequence under 1 other name. Lineage: Bacteria; Pseudomonadati; Myxococcota; Myxococcia. The record is from RNAcentral.
GCCCAGGUAGCUCAGUCGGUAGAGCACGUCCUUGGUAAGGACGAGGUCGGCGGUUCGAUACCGCUCCUGGGCU